RNAcentral lists this small RNA (675 nucleotides) under Paris vietnamensis. Its description in RNAcentral is "eukaryotic LSU rRNA". The stretch from base 271 to 426 matches the Rfam family "5.8S ribosomal RNA". The record is from RNAcentral. Lineage: Eukaryota; Viridiplantae; Streptophyta; Magnoliopsida; Liliales; Melanthiaceae.
UGAACCUGCGGAUGGAUCAUUGUCGAGAUACUAAAUAUGGUCAGAAGAUUGUGAACUCGUGAACGAUUGAUGAUUAUGGUGGAGGGUUCAUCCUGAAGCCAAAGCCCCUACACACCCUGACUGGAAAGGGAGCGAUAGGCGUGGCACGGCGCAUGUGUGGGUGGGGCGCUAACAAAACUCGGCGCAACAAGCGUCAAGGAACGAGUAUGUGAAUACGACCCAUUGUCAUUAGUCGAUGCAGUGGUCUUAUGUUUCGUAGAGUAAUUUUAUGACUCUCGGCAACGGAUAUCUUGGCUCCCGAAUCGAUGAAGAACGUAGCGAAAUGCGAUACAUGAUUUGAAUUGCAGAAUCCCGUGAAUCAUCGAGUUUUUGAACGCAAGUUGCGCCCGAUGUCAUUCGGCAAAGGGCACGCCUGCCUGGGUGUCACGUCUUGCGUCGCUCGGUGCCAACUACGCCUGUGGGUCGAAAGUGUUGGCACGGAUGCGGAGAUUGGCCUCCCGUGUCCUUGUGCGCGCGGUAGGUUGAAGAGUGGGAUGCCAACGGACACGGACCCCUCCACCAGUGGAUCCGCGCCCGACCUCAUGGUGUCAUCCUUUAAACCCUCGGGGGCCCCUUGUCACACACCGCAUGGCUGCGCUGUUCGCGUUGCGCAGCAUUGUGACCCCAGGUCUGGUG